Molecule: ribosomal RNA, 490 nt
Filed under: uncultured bacterium
Lineage: Bacteria
Description: partial 16S ribosomal RNA
Rfam family: Bacterial small subunit ribosomal RNA
Source: RNAcentral
AUUGAACGCUGGCGGCAGGCCUAACACAUGCAAGUCGAAUGGUAACAGGAAACAGCUUGCUGUUUCUCUGACGAGUGGCGGACGGGUGAGUAAUGUCUGGGAAACUGCCUGAUGGAGGGGGAUAACUACUGGAAACGGUAGCUAAUACCGCAUAACGUCGCAAGACCAAAGAGGGGGACCUUCGGGCCUCUUGCCAUCAGAUGUGCCCAGAUGGGAUUAGCUAGUAGGUGGGGUAACGGCUCACCUAGGCGACGAUCCCUAGCUGGGCUGAGAGGAUGACCAGCCACACUGGAACUGAGACACGGUCCAGACUCCUACGGGAGGCUGCAGUGGGGAAUAUUGCACAAUGGGCGCAAGCCUGAUGCAGCCAUGCCGCGUGUAUGAAGAAGGCCUUCGGGUUGUAAAGUACUUUCAGCGGGGAGGAAGGGAGUAAAGUUAAUACCUUUGCUCAUUGACGUUACCCGCAGAAGAAGCACCGGCUAACUCCGUG